AUUGAACGCUGGCGGCAGGCCUAACACAUGCAAGUCGAGCGGAGCGGCGGACGGGUGAGUAAUGCAUAGGAAUCUGCCUGGUAGUGGGGGAUAACGUCCGGAAACGGGCGCUAAUACCGCAUCCUAUCAGAUGAGCCUAGGUCGGAUUAGCUAGUUGGUGGGUUAGAGGCCUACCAGGGCGACGAUCCGUCACUGGUCUGAGCGGAGGAUCAGUCACACUGGAAUGGAGCCACGGUCCGGACUCUUACGGGAGGCAGCAGGGGGGAAUAUGGGACAAUGGGCGAAAGCCUGAUCCAGCCAUGCCGCGGUUGUGAAGAAGGUCUUCGGAUUGUAAAGCACUUUAAGUUGGGGGGCGGUACCAACAGAAUAAGCACCGGCUAACUUCGUGCCAGCCGCCGCGGUAAUAC
This 407-nucleotide ribosomal RNA is filed under the name uncultured bacterium. RNAcentral describes it as "partial 16S ribosomal RNA". It matches the Rfam family "Bacterial small subunit ribosomal RNA", at positions 30 to 526 of the family's 1533-position model. The record is from RNAcentral.